This is a long non-coding RNA of Liolophura sinensis, 1529 nucleotides long. RefSeq lists it as uncharacterized. The transcript has 3 exons. Lineage: Eukaryota; Metazoa; Mollusca; Polyplacophora; Chitonida; Chitonidae. The record is from RefSeq and is a predicted model, not a curated record.
AAAACAUGGUAAAGAUUGAAGAAUUACAGUAUGUUUCUCGGUACUAUCAAGGACUACUCAGUUUAGGGACUUGCCUCUAUGGGAGAGAUUUAUGGUAUUAGAUGUUACCUGUAUCUUGAUAGUUUAUUCAUUGGCACAUUUACAACAUCAUAUUUGCAUACUUUCAAGAACACAUCUGGAAAGAAAUUCUUUUUCAAUAACUUUUAAGGCCUUAACAAUCUUUCAAUAAUAUUUUAACUUUAGAUGUAUUGUCUAUCCAGGCAAAAUUUUUUGGCAGAUGUAACUCUUUCUUGAGGUUUUAUUAAUCAAUUAUGCCGACAAAGCAGAAAAUAAAUGGUAAAAUCUGAUAUAACACUCAAUACAUAUUAGAGAUUUUUGAAACCAAGCGUCUUAUUACUUUAAAAAAAGAGAAACUAAUUUAACUCGUUUGAAAAUAGCGAUUAUUGUGUCCUCUCGUUAAGUUAAUGUGCACGGGCAGGUUCUCAUGAGCCAAUAACGCCACAUCAUGUUAUUAUAAUUUUCACACUCUUGUGUGACGUGUAGCCAAACCUUUCUACGAUUUCAUAAAGAAAUAAAACCAAAAACAAAAAAGCACUACCCAGGGGCUAUGAAUUGGGUUGGGUGAGAAAGAAAAAGGUGAGAUGAUCCAGUUAUAUUUGGAUGUUGUUCCAACGUUGAAAUCUUCCAGUCACAUUUGGUCUUGUUACUUUCUCAAGGACUCUUUUUACUGUUUUAUCCUCUUUCUGCAUGUACCGGAAGUGGGGAACUCCUUUCUUCAGGAAAGUUUGCUGAUUGAUUCUUGUUACGUAUAUGUCUGCCUGAGGACAGGAGUGACUUCUCAAUGCUGUCUGUAGACUAUACAAGGUGAGCUUAGAAGCCAUAGCUGAAUGAAGUCUGCCGACGACAUCCAAUCUACACCACCCACACAAGUUCCUAAUGCUCUGUAACAAUCACCAGAGGCAGUCAUGGGGGAAAUGCUGGAGAAGACAGAGAGAGAAAGCGAUCCGCACCACACCUGCUUGAUGAGUUCUCACCUUAACGACCAUGGCCUAAACCACAAGAUCCACAGCUUUUUAACUCCCUUUGUCAAUGGCACAGAAGGCAAACAUCAAACAGAGCCUGGGGCAACUAUAGAAGACUUGUCAUCUAGGAAUCUGUGUCAGAGAAUAUCUUCACCUGGUCCAGGUGUUCACAGGAAAGGGAAAGGCGCACAGGUGAAAAGAAAGGAAAGAGAAUGGGGCAACAGACUUCACAAGACACUGCUUUCAGGUGAACUUGUCGCCACUCUAUGUCUUCACUUUGUAAGACGUACCAUGGAGAAAAGGAGUGGAUAAAACCGCCCAUGACAACCCUUUACGAGAGAGCUGAGAAUUACAUCUGGAAGUUCAAGGGCCCAUUCCGUCCAAUCAGAACUCAGGCCUGCUAGACGACGGUAAAAUGCAAGCCAGUCGCAGAGAAGAAUUCCAAGCCACAUUUACCAUAGUUAGAUUCUAGUUCCAUGUCUGGACACCUACAGAAGCGCUGCCGAG